Bacillaceae bacterium is the source of this 127-nucleotide regulatory RNA element. It matches the Rfam family "PyrR binding site". From Rfam's summary of the family: This family represents the PyrR binding site and terminator structure. This RNA structure is found upstream of a variety of genes involved in pyrimidine biosynthesis and transport. The alignment also includes a portion of the antiterminator structure. The record is from Rfam. Lineage: Bacteria; Bacillati; Bacillota; Bacilli; Caryophanales; Bacillaceae.
AAGACCUUUAAAUACAGUCCCGUGAGGCUGAGAAGGUAGCGGAUUAUAGCACAAUUGGAGGAGUAGUGUAUUCUUCUACGCUGUGCACAGCUGUCCUCUCGUCUUGGUGGCGAGAGGAUUUUUUUAU